Molecule: long non-coding RNA, 1041 nt
Filed under: Callithrix jacchus (white-tufted-ear marmoset)
Lineage: Eukaryota; Metazoa; Chordata; Mammalia; Primates; Cebidae
Description: lncRNA (ENSCJAG00000084565.1)
Source: RNAcentral
ACUGUUUCAAUCUCCUUGGAGGGGUGGCAGGGAACUUCCCCAAAAGUGACUGACAGACGGGCUGCUUGGAGCUCUGAGGGCCUCAAGGAGAGCGGAGGAGGGGCUGCCUUCAGCUGGGAAGAGAUGGGAUCUCCCUGUGUUGCCCAGGGUGGUCUCAAACUCCUGGGCUCAGGUGAUCCUCCCACCUUGGCCUCCCAAAGUGCUGGAAAUUACACAGAGUUUCACUCUUGUUGCCCAGGCUGGAGUGCAAUGGCACAAUCUCAGCUCACUGCAGCCUCCACCUCCCAGGUUCAAGCAAUUCUCCUGCCUCAACCUCCUAAGUAGCUGGGAUUACAGCCUUGGAAGACAAGGGGACCUGGUUGCACUAGUGAUCUGGGCCUCCAAACACAAAAACUGAACAUCGCUGACUGGCGGCGCUUGCUGACUACUCCCACCAUGGCUGCGUUCAGGAUACCAGUGUGAGCGUUGCAGCACUGGGACAGGAGCGCGCAGUCUGCUCCGUGAACCAUAGCGCUAGCUCUGCCACACCACGGGAACAAUUCUCCUGAAUCCCCCGCGGAAAAGACUAGAAUUAUUCUUUCUUUCUUCUUUUUUCUUUCUUUUUUUAGUCGUAGUUUCCCUCUUGUUGCCCAGGCUGGAGUGCAAUGGCACCAUCUCAGCUCACUGCAACUUCUGCCCCCUGGGUUCAAGUGAUUCUCCUGACUCAGCCUUCCAAAUAGCUGGGAUUACAGGUGUCUGCCACCAUGCCUGGCUAAUUUUUGUAUUUUUAGUAGAGAUGGGGUUUCACCACAUUGGCCAGGCUGGUCUCGGAACUUCUGACCUCAGAUGAUUCGCCUGCCUUGGCCUCCCAAAGUGCUGGGAUUACAGACGUGAGCCACCACAUCCGACCCUAGAAUUAUUAUUUCUUUAUCAGCAAAACAGAAAUUAAGUUGAAAUUAAAAAAACAUACAAAUCUAUCUUUCUUGCCUACCUGAUUUAUGGACAGAGAUUGUAUGUUACUUAAUUAUAAACAAAGAAAGUGACUGACCUGGCUAAACCCAU